RNA transcript from Arachis duranensis, 1211 nucleotides. It is a transcript of the gene named 36.4 kDa proline-rich protein, with no coding region annotated. The transcript has 3 exons. Lineage: Eukaryota; Viridiplantae; Streptophyta; Magnoliopsida; Fabales; Fabaceae. The record is from RefSeq and is a predicted model, not a curated record.
CAUGUUCACGUGAAACACUCUAUACUCAUUUGUUUUCUUCUUCUCAUUCCAUUCCUACUUAUACUUACACACUCUCACUCUCUUCUACCACCAAAUCAACGUAACCAAUUCAUUAAGCUCCAAUGGAGUCUUCUUCUUCAGCCUCUAAGAUCUAUGCUUCCUUCUUCAUUUGCAUUCUCUUCAUCUCUUCCCUCACUCCCACCCUCGCAUGUGGCUACUGCGGUAAUAAUCCCCCCAAGAAGCACAACCCUAAUAAGAAGCCCAAGACACCCGUCAUUGUCACACCACCCGGCGGCAUUCUUCCUCCCGGUAUCCUUCCUCCCGGUAUUGUUCCGCCAAUAGUCAACCCACCGGUCACCGUUCCGCCCGUCACAGUUCCUCCUGUCGCUGUUCCUCCGGUGACCGUUCCGGGAGUGACAAACCCGCCGAGCACAGGAGGAGGAGGGAAGAAGCAGCCGUGCCCGUCGCCGAAGACGCCGGCGCAGGCAACGUGUCCGAUAGACACGCUGAAGCUGGGGGCGUGCGUGGAUCUGCUGGGAGGGUUGGUGCACGUUGGAGUGGGAGACCCGGCGGUGAACCAGUGCUGCCCGGUGCUUCAAGGGCUGGUGGAGCUUGAAGCGGCGGCGUGCCUCUGCACGACGCUAAAGGUGAAGCUUCUGAAUCUCAACAUAUACGUGCCUCUCGCUCUUCAGCUUCUUGUUGCAUGCGGCAAGACUCCUCCUCCUGGUUACACUUGCUCCUUGUAAUUCCAUAUUGUUUGUGUAGAUAUCACCUGAAGGAAUGGUUUCAUCGUCAUUACCUUAAGGUCAAUGGAGAUCAUAUUUGGGGCAUGGCAUGUAUGUAUGGUUGAAAUUGACAUGAGAUGAUUAUGAUGAUGAUGAUGUCGCCCACGCACUCUAGAGAUUAUUGGAAUUGUUGUUCUUGUUGCUAUUGUUGUUUCAUGUUUGGUUAUUAUUUGUUAAAAUAACCAUUUGUUUUUAUAUUGAGAUUACUGUUGCAUCUAUGUUUAAUCCUUAGCUAGCUACUAGGCGAGUAAAUUAAAGUGGCAUUAUUAGCAUAAAAGGUGAUGCUAUGUGACAUUUUAAUUAAGAUAUUUAUUUACAUGAUGGUUUGUGCUUUGUCCAAUUUCAUUAUUGUAACACUACUUGGUUUAAUUUCAAUUGGGGAUAAUUAAUCAAUAUAUUAUAUAUAUGUGUAGCUUCCUCCGUACU